RNAcentral lists this ribosomal RNA (332 nucleotides) under uncultured bacterium. Its description in RNAcentral is "bacterial SSU rRNA". It matches the Rfam family "Bacterial small subunit ribosomal RNA", at positions 568 to 898 of the family's 1533-position model. The record is from RNAcentral.
CGUGUAGGCGGUCAGAUAAGUCUGGUGUGAAAGCCCUUGGCUUAACCAAGGAAUGUCGCUGGAAACUGUCUGGCUUGAGUACGAGAGAGGGGAGUGGAAUUCCCGGUGUAGAGGUGAAAUUCGUAGAUAUCGGGAGGAACACCAGUGGCGAAGGCGGCUCUCUGGAUCGAUACUGACGCUGAUACGCGAAAGCGUGGGGAGCAAACAGGAUUAGAUACCCUGGUAGUCCACGCUGUAAACGUUGGGCACUAGGUGUAGGAGGUAUUGACCCCUUCUGUGCCGAAGCUAACGCAUUAAGUGUCCCGCCUGGGGACUACGGCCGCAAGGUUAAA